CAGGUGCCCUGACUCUGGCGCUCCCGCCUGGUGAUGACCGACAGAGCACUGACAGGCACGUCCAGGGCAGGGCUGCUCCCCCGCGUUCCGCCCUCCCCAAACAUCUCUGACGGACGGUUGGCUGCAGCCCAGGAAGCACUUUCGCGCCGUGGCCUGCAUCCCAGCCCCGCCCCGCCGAGCUGGAAGGAGGGCUGAGAAGAAUUCCCCGGCUCCCUUGCUAGCCUAAAAACAAGCCCACUUGUUCCAGUGCAAUAAAACGAGUUGUCAAACAAC
Molecule: long non-coding RNA, 273 nt
Organism: Eublepharis macularius
Lineage: Eukaryota; Metazoa; Chordata; Lepidosauria; Squamata; Eublepharidae
Exons: 2
Source: RefSeq, a predicted model, not a curated record